CAGUAGCCGCGGGAAUACGUAGGGUGCAAGCGUUAAUCGGAAUUACUGGGCGUAAAGCGUGCGCAGGCGGUUUGUUAAGACAGAUGUGAAAUCCCCGGGCUUAACCUGGGAACUGCAUUUGUGACUGGCAAGCUAGAGUCUGGCAGAGGGGGGUGGAAUUCCGCGUGUAGCAGUGAGAUGCGUAGAUAUGCGGAGGAACACCGAUGGCGAAGGCAGCCCCCUGGGCCAACACUGACGCUCAUGCACGAAAGCGUGGGGAGCAAACAGGAUUAGAUACCCCGGUAGUCCUGUCUCUUAUACC
RNAcentral lists this ribosomal RNA (301 nucleotides) under uncultured bacterium. Its description in RNAcentral is "partial 16S ribosomal RNA". It matches the Rfam family "Bacterial small subunit ribosomal RNA", at positions 509 to 808 of the family's 1533-position model. The record is from RNAcentral.